CCUACGGGCGGCUGCAGUGGGGAAUAUUGGACAAUGGGCGAAAGCCUGAUCCAGCCAUGCCGCGUGUGUGAAGAAGGCCUUCGGGUUGUAAAGCACUUUCAGUGGGGAAGAAAGCCUUGGGGCUAAUACCCUCGAGGAAGGACAUCACCCACAGAAGAAGCACCGGCUAACUCCGUGCCAGCAGCCGCGGUAAUACGGAGGGUGCGAGCGUUAAUCGGAAUUACUGGGCGUAAAGCGCGCGUAGGCGGUCUGAUAAGCCGGUUGUGAAAGCCCCGGGCUCAACCUGGGAACGGCAUCCGGAACUGUCAGGCUAGAGUGCAGGAGAGGAAGGUAGAAUUCCCGGUGUAGCGGUGAAAUGCGUAGAGAUCGGGAGGAAUACCAGUGGCGAAGGCGGCCUUUUGGACUGUCACUGACGCUGAGGUGCGAAAGCGUGGGUAGCAAACAGGAUUAGAUACCCGGGUAGUC
RNAcentral lists this ribosomal RNA (465 nucleotides) under Vreelandella stevensii. RNAcentral's name for it is "partial 16S ribosomal RNA". It matches the Rfam family "Bacterial small subunit ribosomal RNA", at positions 338 to 795 of the family's 1533-position model. Lineage: Bacteria; Pseudomonadati; Pseudomonadota; Gammaproteobacteria; Oceanospirillales; Halomonadaceae. The record is from RNAcentral.